This 1242-nucleotide ribosomal RNA is filed under the name Halomonas shengliensis. RNAcentral describes it as "bacterial LSU rRNA". It matches the Rfam family "Bacterial large subunit ribosomal RNA", at positions 1551 to 2775 of the family's 2925-position model. Lineage: Bacteria; Pseudomonadati; Pseudomonadota; Gammaproteobacteria; Oceanospirillales; Halomonadaceae. The record is from RNAcentral.
CAAGGCCGAGAGACGAGACGAACAGACUACGGUCUGGAAGUCAUCGAUGCCACGCUUCCAGGAAAAGCCUCUAAGCUUCAGAUACAGUGGGACCGUACCCCAAACCGACACAGGUGGUCAGGUAGAGAAUACCAAGGCGCUUGAGAGAACUCGGGUGAAGGAACUAGGCAAAAUGGUGCCGUAACUUCGGGAGAAGGCACGCCGGCGUAGGGUGAUGGGACUUGCUCCCCGAGCCCGAACCGGUCGAAGAUACCAGGUGGCUGCAACUGUUUAUUAAAAACACAGCACUCUGCAAACGCGCAAGCGGACGUAUAGGGUGUGACGCCUGCCCGGUGCCGGAAGGUUAAGUGAUGGUGUUAGGUUCGCCGAAGCUCCUGAUCGAAGCCCCGGUAAACGGCGGCCGUAACUAUAACGGUCCUAAGGUAGCGAAAUUCCUUGUCGGGUAAGUUCCGACCUGCACGAAUGGCGUAAUGAUGGCCACGCUGUCUCCACCCGAGACUCAGUGAAAUUGAAAUCGCAGUGAAGAUGCUGUGUACCCGCGGCUAGACGGAAAGACCCCGUGAACCUUUACUACAGCUUCACACUGGACGCUGAUGUUGCUUGUGUAGGAUAGCUGGGAGGCUUGGAAACCCGGACGCCAGUUCGGGUGGAGCCAACCUUGAAAUACCAGCCUGGCAUCAUUGGCGUUCUAACUCAGGUCCGUGAUCCGGAUCGAGGACCGUGUGUGGUGGGUAGUUUGACUGGGGCGGUCUCCUCCCAAAGCGUAACGGAGGAGCACGAAGGUACCCUCAGCACGGUUGGAAAUCGUGCAAUGAGUGCAAGAGCAUAAGGGUGCUUGACUGCGAGACAGACACGUCGAGCAGGUACGAAAGUAGGUUCUAGUGAUCCGGUGGUUCUGUAUGGAAGGGCCAUCGCUCAACGGAUAAAAGGUACUCCGGGGAUAACAGGCUGAUACCGCCCAAGAGUUCACAUCGACGGCGGUGUUUGGCACCUCGAUGUCGGCUCAUCACAUCCUGGGGCUGAAGUCGGUCCCAAGGGUAUGGCUGUUCGCCAUUUAAAGUGGUACGCGAGCUGGGUUUAGAACGUCGUGAGACAGUUCGGUCCCUAUCUGCCGUGGGCGUUGGAGAUUUGAGAAGAGCUGCUCCUAGUACGAGAGGACCGGAGUGGACGCACCUCUGGUGUUCCGGUUGUCACGCCAGUGGCAUUGCCGGGUAGCUAUGUGCGGACAGGAUAACCGCUGAA